UGGGGAAUAUUGCACAAUGGACGAAAGUCUGAUGCAGCAACGCCGCGUGGAGGAUGACACAUUUCGGUGCGUAAACUCCUUUUAUGUGAGAAGAUAAUGACGGUAUCACAUGAAUAAGCACCGGCUAACUCCGUGCCAGCAGCCGCGGUAAUACGGAGGGUGCAAGCGUUACUCGGAAUCACUGGGCGUAAAGCGCGCGCAGGCGGCUUUGUAAGUUGGAUGUGAAAUCCUAUGGCUCAACCAUAGAACUGCAUCCAAAACUACUUAGCUAGAGUCUGGGAGGGGAAGAUGGAAUUAGUGGUGUAGGGGUAAAAUCCGUAGAGAUCACUAGGAAUACCAAAAGCGAAGGCGCUCUUCUGGAACAGUACUGACGCUGAGGCGCGAAAGCGUGGGGAGCAAACA
Molecule: ribosomal RNA, 402 nt
Filed under: uncultured Sulfurovum sp.
Lineage: Bacteria; Pseudomonadati; Campylobacterota; Epsilonproteobacteria; Campylobacterales; Sulfurovaceae
Description: bacterial SSU rRNA
Rfam family: Bacterial small subunit ribosomal RNA
Source: RNAcentral